AUGACAGAUGUUGACCACAUUCACAAUAGCUCGGCACAUGGUAGAUGCGGCUCGUUCUGAGUAAUGACCUUUGGCAAUUAUCCGAUCGAAAAGCUCCCCUCCUGCGCAGAGUUCCAUGACAAGGUGGACGGAGUUUUUAUCCUCAUACGCGCCUUUGAAUUCCACAAUAUUGGCCUGUCCCGAUAGAUGUUGCAUGAUCUGAAUCUCCCUCUUGAUGUCCUCUCUGUCGUUUUUAUUGACAAGCUUUCGUUUGGAUAUGGAUUUACAGGCAUAGCGCUGUCCAGAGGCAAUUUCGGUGCAAAGAUAAGUAACGCCAAAUUGACCUCGACCCAGCUCCUUUCCCAGCGUAUAGUACGCCUUAACAUUUUCGAAGGGUUUCUCAAGAAUGGUGU
RNAcentral lists this long non-coding RNA (392 nucleotides) under Zostera marina. RNAcentral describes it as "long non-coding RNA (ZMAR_LNC005292)". Lineage: Eukaryota; Viridiplantae; Streptophyta; Magnoliopsida; Alismatales; Zosteraceae. The record is from RNAcentral.